This is a long non-coding RNA of Anopheles merus, 1185 nucleotides long. RefSeq lists it as uncharacterized. The transcript is spliced from 3 exons. NCBI's taxonomy places the organism in Eukaryota, Metazoa, Arthropoda, Insecta, Diptera, Culicidae. The record is from RefSeq and is a predicted model, not a curated record.
UAAAUGUGUAAAAACGUAUUAACGCUUAUGCGAUCGGUUUACCAAGUAGAGACACCUUGAAAUGGGAAACUAUAAAAAAAGCUAACUUUUAACAACAACCCAAGUUCAACACAGUGCAGUACAGCAAUCUAUAGAUUCUUGGAGCAAGUGAUAUGGAAUAAAGUGCAGUGCAAAACAAGUUGUGGUCAAUGUGAUUGAAAGGAACAACCAUUCCCACCGUAGAAGACGAAAAUACAAGACGAGCCCACUCUGGGUUGGCAGGCAAAAAUAGACAAGUGUCCCAACCCCGACAAGACAUCGAGCGACGACUAAUCGACGACGUCAUCGUAGAACUUCACAUCAAACAUCGAGUAUGUACCAAAUACCGAUUAAACACCCAGCACCGGUAUAGAUUCAGCAUAGCAUCAUCAUCAGUAGCAACAAAAUGCACGCAGCAUAUCCUAUUAAGGAUAUUUACGUCGUAAAUAAGGUCUAACGAUCACAGGCGAGACAGAAAUACAAAUGCGGAAAAGCGAUAUGCACACGUUUGGAAAAUGAAGAAUGAGAAGUAGAGAACGAUUCAAACUAACAAGUUCAUGGUUAACCGGAUACAUCUAACAUCAUUUAUCAUCUAUGCACCUGCACAUACCGACCAGACGAAUCCAGCUUACACUGCGGAGCAUCGGAUGACACCGUACUGCGGCCCGCAGACAACACGGCGUAGGGAACGAGACACCAGUGCAUGCGUGGUACCAACGUGACCGAGCUUCCAUCAGAACCAGAAAGAUCUUACGAUCGCACUUGCAUUUUGACAUCUAAAUAGCUUAGCAAAUAGACAGAAAUUGGCACUAGCUUAGCAAAUAGACAUAAAAAGGCAUUAGGUAGACACAAAACAGUCAGUACAUGUAAUGUAAUGUAAGUUUUAAGCAAUAUCAUUAGAUGGAGAAGUCUAUUUUCAUUUAGGUCCUUUAACGCACACAUUUCAAGAGGAGCUAGCUAGUAAGAGAGUGCAAUAGAAAUAGACAGAGAGUAGCUUUAUUUCAAUAUUAAAUUUUUUGUUUAUAUAACUUUUAGUUAUCAGUUGGCUAGCAAAUGCUAAGAUACUUCAUACGUAUCUUUAACUCCUAUCCCAACCUCGUCGUGAUACUAGCAAGAAUGUAAUUGAAGCAUGCAGAUGCAUUGCUUCACAAUUAUGAACUAAUACGA